ACUCCUACGGGAGGCAGCAGUGGGGAAUAUUGCACAAUGGGCGCAAGCCUGAUGCAGCCAUGCCGCGUGUAUGAAGAAGGCCUUCGGGUUGUAAAGUACUUUCAGCGAGGAGGAAGGUGUUGUGGUUAAUAACCGCAGCAAUUGACGUUACUCGCAGAAGAAGCACCGGCUAACUCCGUGCCAGCAGCCGCGGUAAUAC
Molecule: ribosomal RNA, 199 nt
Filed under: uncultured bacterium
Lineage: Bacteria
Description: partial 16S ribosomal RNA
Rfam family: Bacterial small subunit ribosomal RNA
Source: RNAcentral